GUUUUCUAUUUACUUUACAGUAGAGGGGAAUCUUCUGCUUACUUUAUUUCUUCAUAUAAUUCCCCUUGUAUAUACGCUCUACUUCUAAAUAUUUAAUGACUUUCAGCCUUAAAGGACCACCAUAGGCACCCAGACCACUUCAGCCCAAUGAAGUGGUCUGGGUGCCAGGUCCCACGAGUGUUAACCCUAGAGGGUUCAGAGAAACUGCUGUUUU
Pelobates cultripes (western spadefoot toad) is the source of this 214-nucleotide non-coding RNA. The record is from the annotation of a GenBank genome assembly. NCBI's taxonomy places the organism in Eukaryota, Metazoa, Chordata, Amphibia, Anura, Pelobatidae.